GUCUUUUUAAUUGCAACGAGUUAUUUUGAGAGGAUUUUUUUCCCCGUGCCUCUGGUACAUGCUUCUCCCUUAAGCUGACCUGGUGGCUCACCAAUCUCAUUGUCAUAAUUACCAUCAUCACAAUCACUAUUAUCUUAAUUGGCCUUAUCUCCUCGUUAGCUGCUCGUUAGCUAAUUGACUCGGAGAAUAUCCCGGCAAACGCUUUGCGCGGCGACACAAAAGGCAACAGACGGAGAUCAAGAGGAGACAUCUGCCUGUUGAGAGAAGAGGAAAAACUGCAACAAGCUCGAGCUCAUCUGUCACGGGAGAAAACAAAGAGACGCUAAUAAUUCUGCAGCAUUCUGGAUCAGCUGAAGGUCUGAUAGUUCUGCACAGUCAAACAGAGUUUUGGAGAAUACCAGGAAAUGGUGGCGUGGACGUUUCUGCCAGUCAACACUGUGGCAGGGGCUCUGCUACAGUGGAGGGGAGUGUCUGGACUGAGUGGGGUGUGUGGUGUGGAAAGGAGCAGGAAAGCUGGCUUCCUGGUUGAACAUAAGGUGCUGAAGCAGUGGGAAACGCUGUGUUUUCGAAUGAUACUCGAACUGGAUCGUGGAUCUUGAUCAUUUCACAAACACAUUUCAAAAGACACGACUUUUACUUUGAUAUCAAGUUUCUGUUUCUGGUUUGCGUCACGCUAACUGAACUCUAAAUUGAAAGUCUGGAGUGUUUAACAUUUGUAUUUACUAUCAAGCCACAACACCUGCAAAGGAGUUACACAUAGAUCUCAUAAACAUAAUUUAUGUACAAUGCUU
This is a long non-coding RNA of Oreochromis aureus, 791 nucleotides long. RefSeq lists it as uncharacterized. The record is from RefSeq and is a predicted model, not a curated record. Lineage: Eukaryota; Metazoa; Chordata; Actinopteri; Cichliformes; Cichlidae. The transcript is spliced from 4 exons.